GUCUUUGGAGCUUCUGAGUUGUGUCUUCUUGUCUAUAACUAUAACUAAAUAAUUAACAGCUAUGAUUUAAUAUAUUUACAAUAAUUGUGAAUUACCUGAUAUUUACCUAAUAUCAAUAAAGAAAUCCCUUUAAUCGGCAAACCGAUGCCAAAAAUUCUUGAACUUAAAUUACCUACAGUGAAAGACGUUAUGUGUAUCUUUUUUCAUCAUCUGAAUUUUCUUGAAUAUUCUGUGAAACAAAGUGCUAAAAAUGUAGCUGAUGAGGUUAUACAGUUAUGGAAAAAAAAUGACAUUCCGACUUCUGGUACUAAUAAUGUAGUGCAAAGAAUCAUUCGAUGUCAUGGCAAAUGGAAAAGACAAAUGGAUAGUAGACGCUGUGAAAACUCGAGAUAGUAUAAAUUCUAAAGUUAAGAGAUUUGAAAUUGACCGAAAGAACAUCAAUUCGAUUAUUCAAAAAGAUUUGAGUGAUUUCGUUUCUCAAAAAUCAUUAAAUUUGUUCAAAAUCUUUGAUCUAUCAUAUGAUUCUUGAUGUCGAUAUUGAAUUAUAGACAUCGGAUGAGAGUUAUAAAGAAAAUGAAGAAUAUUUCAAGCAAUUGAAAGUUGUUAAUGACGUUGCAGAGCGUGGAGUAGCGUUGGUAUCUGAAUACAAUCAGUGUUUGACAAAAAACGAACACCAGUUUCAAUAUUUACUGCAAGUUGUCAAAGAACAUCGAGCGAAAUUCCCUAACUGUGAAGAGAUUUUAUCCAGUCAUUUUAUGAUCGAGGAAUUCAAAAAAAUUUUUCAUCGGAUCCGUGUAAUGAUUGUGUGAAGAAUGAGGGUAAUGAUAAUUCAACGAAUGCGGAUGUCUUGAGUAUAAAGGUUCAGCUCUUUUAGUCAGUCUUCUCUACUCUGAACUCUCAUUUAUCUUAACGAAAUUUUAAUCCCUAAAGAGUUCAUGGACCGGACGGACACUGAGAAGAGUAUAUUGAGUUUAAGUUGUGUAUAGAGGAUAGGAUAGAGGUUUACGAGGAAUCGUGAUCUUCCGCGAGCAAGCAGUUGCCCUUGCAACUAAACCAAGAAUACGCUCUUUUAUACUCGGCUUGACGAUCGACCCAGGCUUGAUCCUUUUUGUUCUCCGUACUGAGAAAUCAUGUGAUAAUCUUAUAUUAUAUAUAUACGUGUAAGUACGUGACUUUGUCGGCUCACACGAACCAUAUUUUAUCGAUUCCAAGAUUAUUUAAUCAAUAUAACGAUGUUAAAGAAUGCUUUUUUAUUUUUAUCGUUAAUAUAUUGUUUUAUCAGAUAAUUAAAGUGAAUUUUAAAUACAACUUUUAUUUAACUUCAAUAGAAAUAAUAAUUUCGGAAUUUAUGCUUUUAAGUACAGAUGUAUAAGAGCUAGAUGUCAUAAAGAUAAAAAAUAAUUUAAAUUCUACGAAUUAUGUAUAAAUGAACUGAAUUUCUUUUUUAAAAUUUUUACGUAGGUUGAACUACGAGAAUUCGUCACGACGUCAAAGCCACAUUUAACAGACCGAUUGACGUCGUAGAAUCUGGUGCUCUUUAUAUAUUACUCACACGUAUUUAUUAUAUGUAUACAGUAGUUUUAGUUUCCUCAACACUCCGGUGAGAAUGAUAUAUACAAGUGUCUACUUUACUGUCUUCUCUAUUUUAAAAAAUAUUUCCACAAGUCGCCGACCGCAUCAUUUAUAGAUAAACCAUUUACUGGAAUAGAUAACUGAUUUUAUGGCAGUUUUUUAAAUACUAUUUUUAUUUUAGUUUAUUUUAUUUAUUUAUGAUCUUAAAAAACAAGUUAUCUAUAUAAAUUAAAACAUAUAUAUUACAAAUGUAGUAAAACUGGCUCGACGGUGUCUCGUCGAAAUUUUUUAUGUUAAAAAUAAAUGGCGCCGGUUGUUAUAACGUCGAUCGACAAUGACAUUCUGGCAACUCUUGUCUGUCAGACACUCCAACAAAUUCACCUCUAAUAUUUUUAAUAUAUAUAUAUAGAUGUAUAAUUCGAUGAUAUCUAUUUUCUUACUCAUUUCUUAGGAAGUCUAUUUACUUUUUGACCAUCGCAAUAUUUAAACUUCUCAGCCCAUUACGUCUCUCGUUUAAUUUUUAAUCUCAACAUACGUCAUAUUUGUAGACUAUAUAUGUCAUCUGGUAAUUUAAUUUCGUAAAAAUCAAUGAACGUGUUCUACAAAGCAGAUAUAUCGGAAUUUAAAUCAUUUUCGCGAUAAAGUCUAUUUGUUUGAUAAA
Molecule: long non-coding RNA, 2233 nt
Organism: Cotesia glomerata
Lineage: Eukaryota; Metazoa; Arthropoda; Insecta; Hymenoptera; Braconidae
Exons: 3
Source: RefSeq, a predicted model, not a curated record